UCCUACGGGGGGCAGCAGUGGGGAAUAUUGGGCAAUGGACGCAAGUCUGACCCAGCAACGCCGCGUGAAGGAAGAAGGCUUUCGGGUUGUAAACUUUUUUUAAGGGGGAAGAGUAGAAGACGGUACCCCUUGAAUAAGCCACGGCUAACUACGUGCCAGCAGCCGCGGUAAUACGUAGGUGGCAAGCGUUGUCCGGAUUUACUGGGUGUAAAGGGCGUGCAGCCGGAGAGACAAGUCAGAUGUGAAAUCCACGGGCUCAACCCGUGAACUGCAUUUGAAACUGUUUCCCUUGAGUGUCGGAGAGG
RNAcentral lists this ribosomal RNA (305 nucleotides) under uncultured bacterium. RNAcentral describes it as "bacterial SSU rRNA". It matches the Rfam family "Bacterial small subunit ribosomal RNA", at positions 337 to 657 of the family's 1533-position model. The record is from RNAcentral.